GACGGAGGGGGCAAGCGUUGUUCGGAUUUACUGGGCGUAAAGGGCGCGUAGGCGGUCGUGACAAGUCACUUGUGAAAUCUCCGGGCUUAACUCGGAACGGUCAAGUGAUACUGUCGGACUAGAGUACAGAAGGGGCAACUGGAAUUCUCGGUGUAGCGGUGAAAUGCGUAGAUAUCGAGAGGAACACCUGCGGCGAAGGCGGGUUGCUGGGCUGAUACUGACGCUGAGGCGCGAAAGCCAGGGGAGCGAACGGG
Molecule: ribosomal RNA, 254 nt
Filed under: uncultured bacterium
Lineage: Bacteria
Description: partial 16S ribosomal RNA
Rfam family: Bacterial small subunit ribosomal RNA
Source: RNAcentral